AGCCAUAUCACAUUGAAACAUCGGUUCUUGUAUGAUCACUAAAGUUAAGCAACACUGAGCAUGGUCAGUACCUAGAUGGGUGAUUGCCUGGGAACACCAAAUGCUGUG
This is a non-coding RNA of Acanthosepion pharaonis, 108 nucleotides long. NCBI's taxonomy places the organism in Eukaryota, Metazoa, Mollusca, Cephalopoda, Sepiida, Sepiidae. The record is from the annotation of a GenBank genome assembly.